Molecule: long non-coding RNA, 1392 nt
Organism: Manis pentadactyla (Chinese pangolin)
Lineage: Eukaryota; Metazoa; Chordata; Mammalia; Pholidota; Manidae
Exons: 4
Source: RefSeq, a predicted model, not a curated record
GGGUGUCAGCGAUUUCCUUUAAUUAAUGAAAUCACACUUCCCUGUGAGGGCAUUUUUUUCUCUCUUUCUGAUCUUAAGAGCUGUACAGGACUACUGUGUGAAAAAAUGUAAGAGGAAUGAUGGACAGUGACUGUAAUGGGAUCACUCACUCUCAGCCACCAGUCAUGAGGACACUCAGGCAGCUGUUUGAAGAAACUGAACCUUUUUUUGAAGAGCCCCAAGGACCUGGAGUGGGGGUGGCUUCUGCCAAUAGCCAUACUGGUCCAUGGCUUCUCUGGCCCACCUGGCAAGCUCACAUCUCUUAUGUUCCAGAGAGAAAUCACAGUGAACCUGGAAUCUCAAGUGCUCAAAUUGCAAUGUUUCUAAGACUUCCAUGGCUCAACCUGGCAGGAAGUCUGGUCUUUCCUCUGAGGAUCCUCUCUUCAAGGGAAUCCAGGGGUAUCCCCAAGGAUGUGGCCAUGUGCCGCAACUCUGUCCUGGUGGUGGCCUGGCACCUUGGCCCAGCUCCUAUGCUCUGAGCCACCACUUCUGCGCACACUGGUUGCAUUCCCUGAACCAAUUCCCUCCCAACACACACCAGUCUAUUCAGCACAACUAAGGUGUCUGCCUGGGGCUCAGUGGGGUUUGCUCCCAGGGUGGUGCUUUCAGCCCAUGCCAGGGCCUCUCCCCCAACAGAUCUGAGUGGAUGACGCAACUCACCUCCCCUUAGUGGAAGUCCCCAGUGCCAUCCCAGAGGGCUCUCCCCUUCUGUACCCUACAGUUCUUCCUGCCCCUGGACACUCUACACUGGGGACAUCCAUUUCAUUCUGUGGAAACCCCCCACGCUAACCCCAUGUGGUCCAAGGACACACAGUCAGUGAAUUUAUUCAGUGCUGGCAACAUGAAGAAUACAGUCAAAUCUCUUUACAGAAAAUAUUUUCCUUACCUUUCAGGGAGCUGCAGAUGAAGAUGUAACCAAUUUGCACAGCCAACUCUAAACCCCUUGGUCUGUGAAAUAGCAUUUGGUUUCAUGGUGACCUCACAGUUUCCCCCAGAUGCUGUGUGGGUCCUGCCUUUCCAUCAGGUAAAUUUUCUAAGACAAAGGGAAUCUUCGAAAUGAGGUAGCCAUCAUCUUUCCAUCCAGAAACCAGAACUGCCAACUAUCAAAUGUGAUUCCUGUGUUAAAAGUUAAAAACUGAUCAAAUUCCUUUUUAUGGGGUACCCACAAUACCCCAGGGUAGAAUGAAUGUGUCAAGCAGCCCAGAUGUUUUAUUUCAGGGGCUGUAAACUCACAGCUGGGCUCCAUCUGGCUCACAGAAAUUUUUCCUUUGGCUCAUAAUUGACAAUCUUUCUUAUAAUUUUGAAUUGGUUGCCAUUUCAUGAGCACAUUUUAAAUAAAAGUGUGUAUGUCUA